GGUGGUUCUCCAGUGACGCACCCCGGAAUCGGGCUCCCCCCUCUCUGGUUCCAAGGUGCAUUACCCGAGAACCACC
Molecule: non-coding RNA, 76 nt
Organism: Myotis lucifugus (little brown bat)
Lineage: Eukaryota; Metazoa; Chordata; Mammalia; Chiroptera; Vespertilionidae
Source: Rfam